RNAcentral lists this non-coding RNA (33 nucleotides) under unclassified sequences. RNAcentral's name for it is "DUF805b RNA". It matches the Rfam family "DUF805b RNA". From Rfam's summary of the family: Bacteroidetes, Chlorobi (1 example), Proteobacteria. The record is from RNAcentral.
GUAGGGAAAGCCGAAAACCUAAUAGAGUAGGCA